GAGAAGAUUUUUUAAGUUUUCACUAUAAACAUAUAGAGAAAACCCAUGACCCCCCGGGGCGGGGCCAAUUUUAACCCCAGGGCCAUUAUUUGAACAAACUUUGUAGAGGUCCACUAGACGAUGAAUCAUGCCAAAUAUCUAAGCUCUAGGCCAAGUAAGUUCAGAGGAGAAGAUUUUUUAAGUUUUCACUUUCAACAUAUAGAGAAAACCCAUGACCCCCCAGGGCGGGGCCAAUUUUGACCCAAGGGCCAUAAUUUGAACAAUCUUGGUAGAGGACCAUUUGGUGAUCCUACCUACCAUAUAUCAACGGCCUAAGCCUUGUGGUUUGGGAGAAGAUUUUUAAAGUUUUUCCUUUUGGUUGCCAUGGCAACCAGAGUUCUGCAUGGAAUUGAAUUCUUUGAACAACUUUGAUAGAAGACCACCUAAGGAACAUCCCUAUGAAGUUUUAUUAAUAUUAGCCCAGCGGUUAAGGAGGAUAUGUCUUUUAAGUAAAUUGUUGACGGACGACGCACGCCGGACGCCGGACAAAAGGCGAUCACAAAAGCUCACCUUGUCACAAAGUGACAGGUGAGCUAAAAACAAUGCAGACAUUGGGUAUGAUUGACAAAAGCAGUGUUGAAGUACAUCACUUAUGCACUGCAUAUUGACACAUGAGAACAUUAGAAUAACAAAACAAUGUAAGAUUUGUUAUUUUUCAAUACAAGUAAUCAGAAAUCUCAAAAUAUUCAUUAAUCUUAUAAAAAUAGUUGGGCUUAAAUCUGUUCUCUUACUUCUCUAAAUGUCAUGGAUUGAAGGCAAUCAGUUCAAUAUAUUGUAUGUAAUUCUAUGUUUAAGGGUCUGAUGUAUUCUGAAGGGAGAGAAACAGCAUUUACUUAAAUGGAAGCAGGUGACAUAAAGUUCAGACCUGUGUGAGAUUUGGUCUGUGGAAGACCAAAUGGAGGCAGCACACAUCCUUUGUGGAUUGAUGACCUUGGCAAACUGGUUAUAUUCUUUGACUGGUUGGAGUACACCAAGUGACCCCUGAAGUCCAUUCCAAACUUGAGGAAAUAUCAUCACUUCAGAACUUCAGCUGACAACCCAGUGAGUGAAUUCAUGAGAGAGCAUGCCAAGGACAUUGAGAUUGAAGUUAAAAUUGACAAGCCCACAACAAUGGCUUUUCCUUGGAGAGUACCCUGAACGCAUCCAACUAAAAGGACUUAAUGCAAAAAGGCUCUGAUCCCUUAAAUAAGUGAAAAAACUAAUAUACUGAUAUGUGAUCUUUAUAAACUAAAUAUAAGAUUUGAGAAUGAGCUCGUUACUGAGUUGAUGAAAACGUGUAUCAAUUUUUUAUUGACAAUUAUUUAUUCAAUAGGAACAUGUUCAUGUGAAAUGAAGCUACCAGUGAUUUUGAGUGAAAAACUGUGGUUUUAGCAAAUGAGUGAUAGAAGGGUUACACUUUUGUCGGUAGAGCCCCUCUGCCAUAAUGGAGACCACUAUAUGAUUAUUAUUAAUACAAACUUUAAACAAUCUGGCAGUUGAAGCCUAAUAAUGCUUGAAUUGAAGACUUCUAUUAUAUUAUUUGUCAAUAUUAGUUACUUCACAGCCUGAUAAAAUGUACUUUAGCAACCUUUCAGUUUUUCUUCAAUAUCUUUAUUUUAAAACCUUCUUGAACCCUAUAAACAUUUUCAGCUUUAACUUUUACCUAUGAAUAAGCAUCGAAAAUAUAAUUUGUCAUGUACUAUGUGACCAAUUGCAUACCUCUUGAAACUACAUAAUGACGUGUACAUGCUAAGAAGUUAGUAUGUUAAAUAAAUUGUUUUCAUUUUUGUAAAAUGUAAAUGUGCCCAUUCAUUAACUGAUCUAAUUUUACAAUAGUGUAAAUUGUGUAGAAUUGUUUUGUUUAUUAAAUGAAGAGUAUAUAUACUACCAUUUCAUGUUUUAUGAGCAAUGAAUUACUAUACAAAAAAUCACAUUUGAGGUAAAUUGGUAAAGUUGGUGUGAUUAUAAUCAUGUUUGUGGCUUGUUGCCAUGGUAACCAGGAUAAAAAAACAAACCCUUAAAUACCGUUCAAAUAAGAUAAAUUAUAGUAAAUUACAGGAGUAACAUACUUUAUUUUCUAGAUAUACAUUGGUUUGUAUUAGGUGCAAGUUCCAACCUAAUCAAUUUAUUGUGAAAAAUUGCCAAUAAACUACGGUACUUGGCGAACAGUUUUUAUUUAUUCUGAUUUUUUUUUGAAUGUCAAAUACAUACACCAUGCACAGCAAGGUUUGAGGAUAUCAAUUAACAAAUCAAUUAUUAUUGAAUGCUUCAUAUGGCAUUUGGUAUAUUUAAAUGCAAAUUUAACCCCAAAACGCCUUUUUCAAUAAUGGUUGCCAUGGUAACCAAUUAUUUACAUUUUAUUUUCUCAAUAAUAAUUGAGAAUGGUUUUGAAAAUAUGUUGUUGUCGUUAUAAUGUGGGAAUUGUGUAUAUUGUAG
Long non-coding RNA from Mya arenaria, 2454 nucleotides. RefSeq lists it as uncharacterized. NCBI's taxonomy places the organism in Eukaryota, Metazoa, Mollusca, Bivalvia, Myida, Myidae. The transcript has 3 exons. The record is from RefSeq and is a predicted model, not a curated record.